CAGUGUUAUCUCAGUGGUCCAAUAGACGUCCCCCAGGUCAUCUGUCUCAAGGUUGAUCUGCACAGAGGAUGUACAAGAGACAGCUGCCCAUCAGUCUCCUGCUACAGUGGACCAUUAGAGCACGGCCUGUGUCACCUGCCGUUCCCUCUGUUGUGUUAAGGAUUAUCCCAGGAAGUGAAUUGGAGCAACAGUAAUGUGAAGCUUGCCUCUUACUCUCUUCUGCCAGUCACCCCUGUGCCCUAAAACUGUCCUAAAUGACUUAAUCUACAGGGCGACAGUACUACAGAGAGGCUGGUGGGUGAGGACGGUCUCUGUGUGCUGUAAGGGGAUUGCUGUAAUUACUGGGAUCUGUGCACCGUAUUUAUCUUUUCAAGGGAUGGGUGAUCCUGCCAUAAAAAGCCCAACAUUUGGCAGUUAACUAAUGCACACCAUUAGAUUGAUUGUGCUGGAUUUGUGUUUGUGUGUGUAUGUGUGUGCCCCAUAUUUCCCUACUGCUGCCAUGCUCUGUGAUGUGUGUUUAAUAAUGCUUGGUUGUUCUCUGUAAUCCUGAUUAAAUGGGGGUUAAUGUGUGUCUGUUAUACUUUUUCACAGACUCUCCAAUCGUGACCUUCUACGACUAAAGGGUUUGCAUAAAUGAACUGGCUUAUGAGAUAUGAUUAGACAGAGGGAGAUGCAGCGAGACAUGGCAUUAAGAGGGACGAGGUUCAGGUAGCAAUGGGGCUGUCUGUAUUUGCGGUUUUGAUGUCUCACUUC
This is a long non-coding RNA of Micropterus salmoides (largemouth bass), 753 nucleotides long. RefSeq lists it as uncharacterized. NCBI's taxonomy places the organism in Eukaryota, Metazoa, Chordata, Actinopteri, Centrarchiformes, Centrarchidae. The record is from RefSeq and is a predicted model, not a curated record. The transcript is spliced from 3 exons.